GUCACUCCUCAAGUAGUCUCUCCAAAGGAGGAAUGUCUGACGUGGUAAGUAAGUUUGAGAGGAAACUGGAUUUUGUUGGAUCCACCCCUUCUGAAGUCUCUUGUUGUCUUCCUCCCUCAAGAGAUGUCUGCCCUAUUUUCCACUUGUUUGGAAACUAUCUCCCCUGUCUGGUGUCCUUGCAGCUGUGCAUCUGUCAGUCUGUGCUGGUAAGCUUUCUCCCUCAAAAACCGACUUGAUGUGCUUCUCUGUUCUUAUAAUAUCUGGCUCAUAUACCUGCAUUUCACUAACCUAACCUAUAUAUUAUAUAUAAUUUUGUUGUUUAUAUGUUCAUCUUUUAUACCUCACUGAGUUCCUUGAGGGUAGGAACAGUGAGUUGUAUUUUUUUUUGUUUUUUUGUUUUCUUUUUUUUUUUUUGACUCCAUGUUCUCAGAACUCUGGCACAGAGUAAAUACAAAAUAUUUCUUCUUCCUUUCUUCCUUCCCUCCUUCUCUCUCUCGUUCUCUCCCUCUCUCUUUCUCUCUUUAUUUCCUUUGUCUAUCUUUUAAAUCACCAAAACAAUACUUUGUAUGCAGUAGGUAUUUUCCUGCCUAGUACAUACCCAAGUAUUUUUCAAUAUCGUUGCAAAGUAAUUAGUCUUAGAAUUCCCACCUAGAUUUUUA
Molecule: long non-coding RNA, 659 nt
Filed under: Homo sapiens (human)
Lineage: Eukaryota; Metazoa; Chordata; Mammalia; Primates; Hominidae
Description: non-protein coding lnc-SLC9C1-2:2
Source: RNAcentral